CACGUGCAAUGUCCAGAGAUGGCGGCAGGCCCCGCUAUCACGCAGGCUCCCCAGGCAUCUGGAACUCAGCAGACGACCACCAUGGCCAGCAGUUUGGUGAACACUGCAGCGGCCGGUAUUGCUUCUAUCUGGAGGGGAUUCACUGGCAGGUAUAUUUAGGGUACAAAACUCCUCCGGUGAACAGUUAGGUACCAAAGAGGUACGAAUGUUUAAUUUGAAGGCACUACUCGUUAGGAAAACGUGGGGCUCAAGUGAAAAGAAGAGGCCCCUAAGCAAAAAAAUUAACAACCAUACUUCUUUCACAAUAUAUUUCAGAUUUAAAUUCCGUUUUGGAUUGAGAAUAUUUUUGUCAAUAGCUGUAAAUAAGCAAUCUCUCUUGAUUUCAAUUGAUGAAAAUCAAGUUGCACGAAAAGUUCGUUUUAUAUUAGCUUUGUAUAUAAGGCGAAAAUAUUUUUUUAUGUCAAAAAAAUUUCUCAAAUGUAUGUAGAAUAGACAAGUAUUUAUUGACAUUUUUUGUAAUUCGGUUGACUGAUUCCUGAUGCUACAUAUUAAUAAACUAAUUGUUUCAUUUUUUA
Molecule: long non-coding RNA, 575 nt
Organism: Leptinotarsa decemlineata (Colorado potato beetle)
Lineage: Eukaryota; Metazoa; Arthropoda; Insecta; Coleoptera; Chrysomelidae
Source: RefSeq, a predicted model, not a curated record